GACAGGGGUGGCAAGCGUUGUUCGGAGUAACUGGGCGUAAAGGGUCUGUAGGUGGUUUUUCAAGUCUUUGGUAAAACGCCGUGGCUCAACCAUGGUUUGGCCAAGGAGACUGGGAGACUCGAGGCUGGGAGAGGGAAGCGGAAUUUCUGGUGUAGCGGUGAAAUGCGUAGAGAUCAGAAAGAAGGCCGGUGGCGAAGGCGGCUUCCUGGAACAGACCUGACACUGAGAGACGAAAGCGUGGGGAGAAACAGGAUUAGAUACCCUGGUAGUCCACGCCCUAAACGAUGGGAACUAAGUGUGGGGAGCAAUCCCCGUGCCGCAGCUAACGCAACAAGUUCCCCGCCUGGGGAGUACGGCCGCAAGGUUGAAACUCAAAGGAAUUGACGGGGGCCCGCACAAGCGGUGGUGCAUGUGGUUUAAUUCAACGCAACGCGAGGAACCUUACCUGGGUUUGACAUGGCGCUGGUAGUGAACCGAAAGGGGAACGACCCCGCAAGGGGAGGCGUCACAGGUGCUGCAUGGCUGUCGUCAGCUCGUGCCGUGAGGUGUUGGGUUAAGUCCCGCAACGAGAGCAACCCCCGCCCUUUGUUGCUACCGGGUAAAGCCGGGCACUCGAAGGGGACUGCCAGCGAAGAGUUGGAGGAAGGUGGGGAUGACGUCAAGUCAUCAUGGCCUUUAUAUCCAGGGCGACACACGUGCAACAAUGGCCGGUACAGACGGAGGCGAGCCCGUAAGGGGGAGCAAAUCCGAGACAGCCGGUCUCAGUUCGGAUUGAGGUCUGCAACUCGACCUCAUGAAGUCGGAAUCGCUAGUAAUCGCGUAUCAGAACGACGCGGUGAAUACGUUCCCGGGCCUUGUACACACCGCCCGUCACACCACGAAAGUCUGUUGUACCCGAAGUCGGUGUCCGAACCCCGCAAGGGGACGAAGCCGCCCAAGGUAUGGCCGAUGAUUGGGGUG
Molecule: ribosomal RNA, 960 nt
Filed under: uncultured bacterium
Lineage: Bacteria
Description: bacterial SSU rRNA
Rfam family: Bacterial small subunit ribosomal RNA
Source: RNAcentral